Molecule: ribosomal RNA, 253 nt
Filed under: uncultured bacterium
Lineage: Bacteria
Description: partial 16S ribosomal RNA
Rfam family: Bacterial small subunit ribosomal RNA
Source: RNAcentral
UACGGAGGGGGCUAGCGUUGCUCGGAAUUACUGGGCGUAAAGCGCACGUAGGCGGACCAGCAAGUUAGGGGUGAAAUCCCGGGGCUCAACCCCGGAACUGCCUUUAAAACUGUUGGUCUGGAGGUCGAGAGAGGUGAGUGGAAUUCCGAGUGUAGAGGUGAAAUUCGUAGAUAUUCGGAGGAACACCAGUGGCGAAGGCGGCUCACUGGCUCGAUACUGACGCUGAGGUGCGAAAGCGUGGGGAGCAAACAGG